Podarcis raffonei (Aeolian wall lizard) is the source of this 471-nucleotide long non-coding RNA. RefSeq lists it as uncharacterized. NCBI's taxonomy places the organism in Eukaryota, Metazoa, Chordata, Lepidosauria, Squamata, Lacertidae. The record is from RefSeq and is a predicted model, not a curated record. The transcript has 5 exons.
CGAGGAGAAGCGAGCAGAAACACGCCGGAGAGGAGCCGGAAGGAAGCGCCUCAUGGGCCGAGGCGCCCAUGCUAGAGCCGCUUUCCUGGGACUAAGCCCCACUGGAGCUCGGGUUUUAAAACAAAACACAGUGGAACAACCGCACAAUAUUUCCAUGUGUGAAUGACCCAUCACAAAGCUGUGAGCCUGACCAUAGGCAGAAGCCAUCUUCUGGAGGUGCUCUCACUUUCAAAGAAAUAGCUGCAAAUCUGGGUCUCCUGUAUAUGUUUUGAUGUCAUAAAUACCUCUCUGAAUAUCCAGAAUCCAUGAAGGAAAGGAGCAAUGUCACCACCUUUUUGCGUCCCUAAAACAGAGUCAACCAAAUCAGGUGCCCCUUCCUUUGUCUCAGCGCCUGUCUCUGCAAUGUCCUGACACACUGCAGCAGUUCCAGUAGAACCGUGGUGGAAAGUUUAUUGUUAUGGGGCAGCCAGU